GAGUGACCUCAAAGUGCUUUGGAGUGACCUCAAAGUGACACAAAGUGACCCCAAAAUGGAGAGGAAUGACCUCAAAGUGACCUCAGAGUGGUCAGGAGUGACCCCUGGGCAUGAGAAUCUCUGCUGGACAUUGAGGGGUGAGGUUGGAGUGACCCCAAAGUGACCUCAAGUGACACAAAGUGACCCCAAAAUGGAAGAGAAAGCUGAAUCUGUGCUGGACAUUGAGGGGGUGAGGUUGGAGUGACCUCAGAGUGGUCAGGAGUGACCCCUGGACAUGAGAAUCUGUGCUGGACAUUGAGGGGUGAGGUCAGAGUGACCUCAGAGUGGUCAGGAGUGACCCCAAAGUGCCACAAAGUGACCCCAAAAUGGAGGAGAGUGAGAGCUUGGACAGUGCUGGACAUUGAGGGUUGAGGUCAGAGUGACCCCAAAGUGAUCUCAAAGUGCUCUGGAGUGACCUCAGAGUGACCUCAGAGUGGUCUGGAGUGACCCCUGGACAUCUGAAUCUGUGCUGGACAUUGAGGGGUUGAGGUCAGAGUGACACCAAUGUUCUCUGGAGUGACCUCAGAGUGACCUCAGAGUGGUCUGGAGUGACCCCUGGACAUGAGGAUCUCUGCUGGACAUUGAGGGGUGAGGUCAGAGUGAC
This is a long non-coding RNA of Catharus ustulatus (Swainson's thrush), 643 nucleotides long. RefSeq lists it as uncharacterized. NCBI's taxonomy places the organism in Eukaryota, Metazoa, Chordata, Aves, Passeriformes, Turdidae. The record is from RefSeq and is a predicted model, not a curated record. The transcript has 2 exons.